Molecule: ribosomal RNA, 442 nt
Filed under: uncultured bacterium
Lineage: Bacteria
Description: partial 16S ribosomal RNA
Rfam family: Bacterial small subunit ribosomal RNA
Source: RNAcentral
CCUACGUGUGGCUGCAGUGGGGAAUAUUGCACAAUGGGGGGAACCCUGAUGCAGCGAAGCCGCGUGAGUGAAGAAGUAUUUCGGUACGUAAAGCUCUAUUAGCAGGGAAGAAAAAAGGACGGUACCUGAGUAAGAAGCCCCGGCUAACUACGUGCCAGCAGCCGCGGUAAUACGUAGGGGGCAAGCGUUAUCCGGAAUUACGGGGUGUAUAGGGAGCGUAGACGGGAAUGCAAGUGCGGAGUGGAAUGCGGCAGCUCAACUGCCGAACUGCUCUGGAAACUGUAGGGCGUGAGUGCAGGAGGGGGAAGCGGAAUUCGUGGUGUAGCGGUGAAAUGCGUAGAUAUCAGGAGGAACACCGGUGGCGAAGGCGGCUUACUGGACUGUAACUGACGUUGAGGCACGAAAGCGUGGGGAGCAAACAGGAUUAGAUACCCUUGUAGUC